UAGAUAAAACUUCAGGUUUUGAACAUCUCUUCCUCUAAUACAGGGCCGCCAUCGACUGGCAACUCGUGAGGAACAGGGCUGCGGAGAUCGCCAAGACCCCCGAGUUCAAUGACCUGCUGCGGUUGCCCAACUGCCGGGAUAAGCCACACAACAUUCUCCCUAUCCGAUCCUGCAGCAGGUAUAUAUGCUCCUUCCUACUAGUAGUACUUAAAUCUGAAUCCCAGCGAGUAUGCGAUUGGUUUUCAGUUUUGCUGGACACAUAUGUGGAUUUGGAACUGACUGGAACAUGAUGAUUUUGUUAGCCCACUGAAGAAUUACCCAACACCUCAAUACUCUGCCACACUAUGUUGAGUUUUUUAAUCAUGUGCGAGUUAAUUGAUACUACAAUAGUAUGUUUAGUCCUAGUUCUUUGCAGGACCUUGUGCGAGUUAAUUGAUACUACAAUAGACUCAGCAUAGAAGUAUGCUAUUCUUGCAGUGUCUAUUCUGUCGAAAAAUUGAAAACACUUUUCUUAAUGCAAUCUUUAUAUUUGACCAUGAAAACACUUUGCUUGCUGUCAAAGAUGGUGUGUAUUGUACACACCCCUCUGUGAUUUAUGCACUUCACAUGCAUUUUCCCCAUCACCCACAAACCGUAACAUGCUAGUUGUAUGUGCUACUGCAAUUCUUGCACUUGAUUUCAAAUCGUUCUCUGCUCUGUGUGUGCACGUGUGUUAAUGAUGGAUUGGCUGGUUAGAUGAUGCUACAACAACAUAUUCCUGAGAUUCUCUUUGAGGAAUACAAAAUCAAGGUUUUAAAGACUGAUGGCCAGCUUGUCUAAUGUUUGUUUUCUUCUAUACACUUGCUCCUUCCAGUAGGCAUUGCAAGUGAUGUGUUCAAGUGUAGUCCUCUAGUCACAUUUUUUAACCAGUACCAUAUGAUUGUAGCAUACUUCUAGUUUUAGUCAUUUAACAUCUUAAUUUAGCUAGAAUGAUGAAGUAGUUGCACUUGGAAGAUGGUCUGAGCAAAUGAUGAUUCAUAUGAUUAUUCUGGCAUUGCUAUGUUUGAUCUGGUGGUGCCAAAAAAACUCAUGCUUAUGCUGAGCUUACUUUUAAUAUCAUUUUAUUCUGUGUGAUGAGCUUAGUUUUGUACUGUAGCCACCUUCUUGUUUACUUUGUUGAAUCCUGUCCUGUGUACUAAUCAUGAGCUACUAGCAUUUGGCUUCUGUGUGCUAAUUAAACCUGGUAAGUAUGUAUACUUCUUUGAGAUACAAAUUCCACAUUGCAUGUUUAUGUGCUAAUUAAACUUGAUAAGUAUGUAUACUUCUUUGAGAUACAAAUUCCACAUUGCAUGUUUAUGAGGUUCAAUUUCUACAGAUGUUGCCAAAUGAAUGUGUCAACAUGUCUCUCCUUAGGGGUUGUUUUAAAUCACAGAUGAUCUACUGUAUCAAUUUUUUGCUGUUCAAAGAUUGAAAUCCUGGUUCAUUUUAAAGAUCGAAAUGUUGUUGACCCUGUUCUUCUAUGCUUAAAUGGUAAAAAUGUCGCAUUUUUCUUGUUCUAACCAUUUUUCUUGAUAACUUGCAGAUGCUGGCCUUCAUUCAUGUUUUGUCGUGAGGUCCAGGAUGAACAAGUUGGGAGAAGCAUUGGAGCUAGUUAUACUAUGAUAGUUGUGUUACCUGAUGUGAACAUUUUUUAUUGUAAACUUGAUGUGAAGCAUAUUUUUCUGUAAUAAUGUGUUACCAGGAUGAACCAUCCUUGCUGUGUUACCAGGAUGAACAAGUUUGAUUGUAAUAAUGUGCCAAGUUUGGCUCUUUCUGAUUGUAUUCGUGAUGUGUACCAUAUUUUUCCUAAUUAG
This 1832-nucleotide long non-coding RNA is filed under the name Triticum aestivum (bread wheat). The record is from RNAcentral. Lineage: Eukaryota; Viridiplantae; Streptophyta; Magnoliopsida; Poales; Poaceae.